Long non-coding RNA from Bos taurus (domestic cattle), 880 nucleotides. The record is from Ensembl. NCBI's taxonomy places the organism in Eukaryota, Metazoa, Chordata, Mammalia, Artiodactyla, Bovidae.
AGGGAAACUCAGACAUGGGACAAGGGAAACAAUGCUUACUCUCCCAAAUAUAGAGGGAGGAAGGGAACACUUACGAAGGAAAGGAGGGCUAUCAUUUAGGUUGUACCAUAAAUUCCUUCAUCACUGAGAUAAAAGGCGGGGAGAAGGAUGGUUGACUGAGAGGGCUGAUCCAGAGGUGUGAUUUUUAACUUGAUUGUUUUGGUUUAACAGCAGGACAUUCAGGAAGAGACUUCCCAUAGAUACAAGGAUAUAUAUGUAAACUCAGUGACUAGGAUCUCAUGGGCAAAGUGUGUCCAGUGGUUCCAUUUAAAAGGGAACUUGAAAUUGAGCCACGGAGCUUGGCUGCAGUCCUCAUGCUAAGUGAUUCCAAGAGGAGACAUUCGCUCAUGACCAAGGUGACCAGGGCUUUGAAGAGGAGAAACAAAGCAGGAAAGAGGAGAUGCAGGUUCAUCCCUGGGUGGGGAAGACCCCCCCAGGAGAAGGAAAUGGCAACCCACUCUAGUAUUCUUGCCUGGAGAAUUCCACAGACAGAGGAGCCUGGAGAGCUACAGUCCAUAGGAUCACAAGGAGCUGGACAUGACUGAGCAUAGCACAGCUAGCCAGCUAAGGAUGGAUUAGGUGGCAUAUACUCAUCAACCAUUUUCAUUACUUUUUUUAAAAAUUUACAUACAGUAAACUCCAUUUUUGUUGUUGUUCAGUCCUAUGAGGUUUUAUACAUGCAUAGAUUUUUGUAAUCACUGCCAUAAACAGGAUACAAAACAACAUGUACACCCAAAAGAAUCUCCUCAUGCUGCCCUCGUAUAGUCAGUUUCUGGCCCCUCCCCAUGGCAACCAUUCAUCUGUUCUUACAGUUUUGCCUUUUCCAGACUGCGAUAUGAAG